AUAGCAGUUUCCGUAGGUGAACCUGCGGAAGGAUCAUUACCGAGUUGAUUCGAGCUCCGGCUCGACUCUCCCACCCAAUGUGUACCUACCUCUGUUGCUUUGGCGGGCCGCGGUCCUCCGCACCGGCGCCCUUCGGGGGGCUGGCCAGCGCCCGCCAGAGGACCAUAAAACUCCAGUCAGUGAACUUCGCAGUCUGAAAAACAAGUUAAUAAACUAAAACUUUCAACAACGGAUCUCUUGGUUCUGGCAUCGAUGAAGAACGCAGCGAAAUGCGAUAAGUAAUGUGAAUUGCAGAAUUCAGUGAAUCAUCGAAUCUUUGAACGCACAUUGCGCCCCUUGGUAUUCCGAGGGGCAUGCCUGUUCGAGCGUCAUUUCAACCCUCAAGCUCUGCUUGGUAUUGGGCUUCGUCCUCCACGGACGCGCCUUAAAGACCUCGGCGGUGGCGUCUUGCCUCAAGCGUAGUAGAAAACACCUCGCUUUGGAGCGCACGGCGUCGCCCGCCGGACGAACCUUUGAAUUAUUUCUCAAGGUUGACCUCGGAUCAGGUAGGGAUACCCGCUGAACUUAAGCAUAUCAA
This 577-nucleotide small RNA is filed under the name Neofusicoccum parvum. Its description in RNAcentral is "eukaryotic LSU rRNA". The stretch from base 218 to 371 matches the Rfam family "5.8S ribosomal RNA". Lineage: Eukaryota; Fungi; Ascomycota; Dothideomycetes; Botryosphaeriales; Botryosphaeriaceae. The record is from RNAcentral.